GGCCUUUACGAAAGUCGAAUAUUCGGCCUUUCACGCCGGCAACGCGGGUUCGAUUCCCGCUGGGGUCACCA
Molecule: transfer RNA, 71 nt
Filed under: Acidobacteriota bacterium
Lineage: Bacteria; Pseudomonadati; Acidobacteriota
Description: Acidobacteria bacterium tRNA-Glu
Source: RNAcentral